RNAcentral lists this long non-coding RNA (475 nucleotides) under Dermacentor andersoni. RNAcentral's name for it is "uncharacterized LOC126516639". Lineage: Eukaryota; Metazoa; Arthropoda; Arachnida; Ixodida; Ixodidae. The record is from RNAcentral.
UCUAUGGGCUUCCUCUGUGACUGUAGUAGUUGCAAUAGCUCAGAGUCGACGCUUUAUCGAGCUAUUUUACACGCUGCAGUGCUCUUAGAUAUAUUUAUGUCUACCCUACAAGUAAUUAGAGAACCUCGAGAACGUCGAGCAUCAAUACUUGUGCGCAUCUUUGUAUAUCUGUCACACCAGUGGUAAGCAAACCGUCACUGCCUCCUGCACCAAAUUGCCGCGACCUGCAUACUUUGGAAGUCCCCACUUUUUCUAUGCCGUUGCAAGGAAUUCCUUAUCAGCAAAGAAAGGUAAGAAUAGAAACUGUACCCACACAACAAAGCCUUCCAGGUACACCAAGCAAGAAAGAUAAAACCUUGCCACUUAAAAAGCAGAAAGCCAACACACGGUACCAAAGCCAGUAAACUGGAAGACCUAUCUGAAGAGAAAUGGAGGCUGCAUGAAAAUGUGCUCUUGAAUAAACCACAAUUCUUUA